GUUGUUGAUACCAUGCUGACAAAUAAAAUUACAUUUAAUUUAACUGCAUAUAGGAAAGUUGUGCAUGAUUAAGCUUUUUUUUUUUUAAAUGUGGUGUAAAUUCUAUAAAGAAAAAAAUAUAUCUAUACAUUUGUCUGUCUGACUCAAAUGUCUUAUUACACUGGCCAUAAAAAAAAAAAUCCUUAAUUCUUUUUCUUGGUUGUCCAUGGAUACUGAGUGGAGAUGCAUCUUCAAAGGGUUCCUCACAUUCAUUUGCAUUUCUUGUGCUAAUAAAAGUGCUAUCAGCACUCCCCGCCCCUUAGCUACUCCCACAGCCCUGCUUUGUCUCGCCCUUUUUUUCACCUCCAGUCACUUGGGAGCAAGAGCCACCGGGAGCCUCACUAAUUGGGCUAGCAACAAAGGACUGAAGCAACCCUAAGGCCUUAGUGCUCCAGAAGUGAGCUGAAAAACACAGCUAUUGAAGGAAGGAGUGAAUGCAGGGAUCUGAGUGUGUGCCAGGAAUGCUUGUCUUGCUCUCUCUGUGGAGUGACACUGACGACUCUCUUCUGACACUCCUCUGGGGUGGCCCUCUCAUCCAUCCAUGCACUUGUCUGCCGUGUUGACAAAGCUUUGCAGGUCUCUCUCCAUCAACACCACCACCUGACAGCGCUGCGUUUUACGCGGCAUGGAAGACUGUUGCGGAGUCGGGUAAUAGGUUUGCUGACACAAACUAUGCGGGUCAAUAAAACUCAAAGAUGUUUCUGGCUCUGGGAAAUGUCUUUCCUGUAAUGUCUGCACCGUGAUGUAGCUCUUUGAGGAAAUGGGGUCUUUAAUAUUGACCUUUGGCUAUACACAGACACCGAACUCUUGUUUUGAAGACAUUAUAAAGUCUAUGACACACUCAAGAAAUUUUCAGAGGUUCACUUUGAAAUAAUCGCAGCAGUCACUACCUCACAUAAAGACAUUUCAUAAGGUUCCUUUUGGAUGUUUUUUUU
This is a long non-coding RNA of Cyprinus carpio carpio, 974 nucleotides long. The record is from Ensembl. Lineage: Eukaryota; Metazoa; Chordata; Actinopteri; Cypriniformes; Cyprinidae.